UGGGGGAUAUUGCACAAUGGGCGAAAGCCUGAUGCAGCGACGCCGCGUGGGGGAUGAAGGCCUUCGGGUUGUAAACUUCUUUUGCUCUGAACAAGGCGCACCAUGGGGUGUGUUGAGUGUAGGGAUUGAUUAGCGCCGGCUAACUACGUGCCAGCAGCCGCGGUAAUACGUAGGGCGCGAGCGUUGUCCGGAAUUAUUGGGCGUAAAGGGCUUGUAGGUGGCUGGUUGCGUCUGUCGUGAAAGCUCAUGGCUUAACUGUGGGUUUGCGGUGGGUACGGGCUGGCUCGAGUGCAGUAGGGGAGGCUGGAAUUCCUGGUGUAGCGGUGGAAUGCGCAGAUAUCAGGAGGAAUACCGGUGGCGAAGGCGGGUCUCUGGGCUGUUACUGACACUGAGGAGCGAAAGCAUGGGGAGCGAACAGG
RNAcentral lists this ribosomal RNA (419 nucleotides) under bacterium. Its description in RNAcentral is "partial 16S ribosomal RNA". It matches the Rfam family "Bacterial small subunit ribosomal RNA", at positions 355 to 776 of the family's 1533-position model. The record is from RNAcentral.